This is a long non-coding RNA of Cyprinus carpio (common carp), 3368 nucleotides long. RefSeq lists it as uncharacterized. The transcript is spliced from 4 exons. NCBI's taxonomy places the organism in Eukaryota, Metazoa, Chordata, Actinopteri, Cypriniformes, Cyprinidae. The record is from RefSeq and is a predicted model, not a curated record.
AAAAUUUCCACUUUUUUCCAUGCAUUACACUCAACCUUUCAAAUGCCAUCAAAACUCAAAGCUUCGCAUCAAAAAAAGUUGUUGAACUUGAUCGAACCGAGUGCAGAGCCCAGAGGCACGCAGCUCCUCGGGGGAAGCAGCUGGUGAAGUUGAGAGUGCUGGAGGACUCACAUGGCUAACCUCAGUGUACUCGCUCUCUCUCCUCACCUCAGCCCUGCUGCCAGCUCUCUAGCCAAGCGAGACAGAUCUCUCCCAGCAAACGCUAGUAGAGGGAAAAUGGGAGAAAAACAAAGAUCGGGGGUAACAUAAGAGGGAUUCGAUGAAUGGGAUAAGACAGCAUUUUAAGAUGGUGGGAGAGGAACUUUGAGAUAAGACUCGAGACAAAUUGAGCACAUACCUGUAUCGUGUAUCAUGAGCAACAAAAAGGACAGACAAAGGAAUAUAUUACAUUGCUGCUUAUUGCGUCACAGUUUUUGGACGGGGGAGGUGGAAGGCUUUUGAUAUUUCAGAAUGGACACAGCACGAGACAAUCCAUUUCACAUUAGAUGCAACAAGCCUGUUUUCACCUCGCUGGCUUCCUCUCUUAGUAGGGUAGCAUUGCGCGUCUUAGGAAGACCCGGUGAAUAGUAAUGAACUAAGCUUGUGUGUCUAUUUGACAGAGCAGAAGAAGGGGGAGAGGUGGGGGCUGUGCAGUGUGUGUGUGUGUUGCAGGGAGAGCUGUGAGAAUAAGGCAGAGGGAUGCAGAGGAGAAUGGAGACAGCCUUCCCAUUCCUCCACUCCUCCCCUCUCACUUCUGCUUUUCCCUGACAGAGGGAAAGGAGUUCUGAAGAUGUACUACUGAAUUCUUAUGUAAUCUCAUUUUUUUUGUCCUCUCUCCCUUCAGUUUAUUGACAGGGAUCUGCCAGGUUUCUGUGAAAAGCGGCAUUGAGAAGAGAAGAGUUGUGAAGAUGUUCUACUGAAUUAUUUGUGAUUUCUCAGGUUUCUCAGUGAAGAAAUGCCGGAUUUCUGUAAAAAGAGACAUUUCAGAGAUUCUAGUUUGAAGAAAGAGAGAAAAACAGACUGAAUUCACCUCAGGGAGGCAGAGCACCUUCACGGAGACCCUGACUGCUCUGUGUUCCUCUAUCCACCUAAAGGGGCACCAGGAAAGAAAAGAGUAUGGAAGAAAACAUCAAAUUUGAGCAGAUCAAACCAGUGGAGUAUGAGGAGUGCAGCAUCCGGUGUCUGUGUAACUCAAAUAGCAGUUGAAGAGGGGGACACAUACAAUAGAUCUCCCCCUCCCUGUACGUGCUCUCCAUCUAAGAGGCAACGGCUCAGUGCCAAAACUGAAGCACAAGGACUCAUUGAAGAAAGCUCUCUUGGUCCCAUUUUUCUCGCUUCCUUAAGCAGUUGGUUGCCCAUUCCCCCGUCCUCAGUCUGCUUUCAUGGGAUGUGACUUCGAUAGUGAUUUGGCAGCGAGUCAGAGUUAACAGCCAAUCAGAGAGAUCGUAAGAGCCUCUAAACGGACUGUUUUGCUGUGUUGCACUGGCUUGACAUAAUGAUCAUUAGUGCAUGCGUCUGUUAUAAUGUGAGUAAUUAGAGUUACGUCUAAUGCAUAAACCUGAAACACUUCAUUUAACUCUGUGUUGUCUCUGGCCUGAGUAAGACACAUAUAUUUCAUUAUCCCUUUCCUGAGGCUGAAUUAUAUUGCAUGUGAAACAAGCCUGUCAGAUUACAUUUGUAUUUAUAUUUCUGUCACACAGGUUUUACUUGACAACAUUUUAAUUGGCUAGGUUUGCUGCUUGAUUAAAGCUGUCACAUACAAGAUAUAAAAACAGAGCUGUGAUACUAUUAGUGCAGUUGUUACUGUUGCCAUUAGCAAUUCUAUUUGAAUUAGUGUCCCUGAAUAAGCAUCAGAAAGGGGGCGACAUCCUCGACUGCCAGAGACUUAAUGAGCUCACACAUGCACAUUGUUGCUCGUAUCAGUGUAGGUAUGGAGUAUGUGCUCGAUAUUCAAAAUAUAAAUCACCACCCUAAUGAUUGAGAACCAUAAGUUCUUAGGUUCUCAUUUAGCUUUAAUAACCUUGUUUCUGGUCUUGUUUCUUAUUAUUAGUGAUUUUAAGUGAUUUUAGUACCUUAACUUAAACUUAUUUUAUUUUAUUUAGUUGCCAGAGUCACAUUUCUAAUAUUCAUGUAAGAUUUUUUCAUCUAAUAUUUAGGUUACUUUAUGUAAGCAUACAGCCAUUACUGAAAAUUAUUUGAAUAGUUUUAGUUAAAAAUAACAACAUUCUGAAUCAUUUACAGAUGUUACAUUCACAGAUAAGUUACCAUCAACAUACAUACAGUAAAUACAUUCAUUCAAAUGUCACCAAAAACUACUGAUAUUAUUUAAAUUCCCAUUUUUCUGUGGGAAUUUGCAUGGCUGAGUUAACACAUUCCCUCUUCACCCAAUGUUAUUAAAGCGUAUUUUCUGCAAAAAGCAAUUUAUAGCUCAUAUGCUCCAUAUAAUACGCUGUUCAUAAUACGAAGAAAAUUAGGGCAUUUCUGAAGCUAAAAUUCGCAAUUGUUAGCUUAUGUUCCUCCAGUUAUCAAUCUGUUCUAGUUUAUUUGGAGGGACAUAUUCAUCAUACCCAGAGAGGGAUUUCUAUUCGCAGUGUAUUAUUCUCAGAUAAUGAGGUAGGAUGAUAUGCAAUGGCAGUAUGUGAAUAUUGUUUGUGAUGUGUUGUCAUGACACACACAGGUGUCUUUUUCCCAUUCUGACCGCACUGUGUUGUCAGAAUACAUUAAGCUAGGAAUAUAAAUGUUAAUCAAAUAUUAAUCAGCUCUGAUACACAGCGGAAUUGAUGACAUGUGUAGACUCUCUAUAAUCAGCUCUUUGCCAGAUAUUUAUGAGGAUGAAUGGGCAGAGAGACGACCAGUGUAUAAUUAUUGCCAAAGAGAGAGAGAGGCAGAGAGAGAUGCAACCAUCAAAAUUGACAGUCUGCAACACAGAAUAUGAGACUCACAGAAAAUAAGCAACUGCAUUAUUCUGAACUAAUAAAUGUUGUGAAAAUGUGAUGCAAGCAUUCAUAUAGGCCUACAUUUGAUUUGCCAGCAUCUUUAGUCUUUUCCAGAACUAACUUAAUUGUCGCAGAUAUUGACAACCAUGCUGAUUUUCAGACCCUUCAGCACAAAUGCAAGUCUGACAUAGCAGUUGAAUAAACAAUAAGAAAGUAUUAAAUAAUUUACAUUUUAGACACUGUUUAGUUUGUCUGUAUUUUGCUCUGCCAAAAUAGCUUCAAAAAAGCAAUGAAUCAAUCAUGUGAGUGAAUGAUUCAAUGACUCACUUACUAAAUGACUCACUUACUGUGGGGAAGUCGUGGCCUAAUGGUUAGAGAGUCUGACUCCCAAUC